UCGGUCCGAUGUAGGGGACAAGGUCCCAGUCAGCUUCGGACUUCGGCCCGAUGUAGGGGACAAGGUCCCAGUCAGCUUCGGACUACGGUCCGAUGUAGGGGACAAAGGUCCCAGUCAGCUUCUGACUUCGGUCCGAUGUAGAGGACAAGGUCCCAGUCAGCUUCGGACUUCGGCCCGAUGUAGGGGACAAGGUCCCAGUCAGCUUCGGACUACGGUCCGAUGUAGGGGACAAGGUCCCAGUCAGCUUCGGACUUCGGUCCGAUUUAGGGGGCAAGGCCCCAGUUAGCCCGGACUUCGGUCCGAUGCAGUGGGCAAGGCCCAAUAUGUGUUUUAUAUGUUAUUGUGUGGUAUGUGGUAGAAUGGGGGAGCUCACUAAGCUUCAUGCUUACGGUUUUCAGUUUUGGUUUCAGGUACUCGGUUUUCAAAAGAGGAGCUCGGGAAGAUUGUAGUGCACACACCAUAGUCAGUUAGCCUGGGAACGUUUGACUCUGAUAAUGAUGUUAUGUUUUGAUUUAAUACUCGAGAAAUUAUGUUAUGACUUAUGAUACGGUUUUUAUAAAUAUGAUUUUAGUAAUGUUUUAAAAGAAAAUUUUUAGUCGUGAUUUUUGUGUCGUUAUAGUCCAAUAAUUUUACAAACCAUCAAACUUAUGUGUAGAUUAACACAACACUAACCAAAAUGACAACCUACUUUCAUUCUUAACUUAGAAUUGGAGAAAAGUUUUGAUUUUAACCUAAAAUAGCAUUAUACUUCCAUUUUUUUCACAAAAUAUCCUCAUAAUUUUGUUUUUUUCACAAAAUACCAUCGUACUUUCAUUUUUUCAAAAAAAUAGCCUCAUAAUUUCGUUUUUUUCACAAAAUACCGUCCUACAUUCGUUUUUUUCACAAAAUACCCUCAUAAUUUUGUUUUUUUUCACAAAAUACCCUCACAUUUUAGUUUUUUCAUAAAAUACCAUCAUACUUCUGUUUUUUUUUCACAAAAUACCCUCAUAAUUUUGUUUUUUCAUAAAAU
This 1009-nucleotide long non-coding RNA is filed under the name Lactuca sativa (garden lettuce). RNAcentral describes it as "long non-coding RNA (LSAT_LNC009206)". Lineage: Eukaryota; Viridiplantae; Streptophyta; Magnoliopsida; Asterales; Asteraceae. The record is from RNAcentral.